This is a long non-coding RNA of Phyllostomus discolor (pale spear-nosed bat), 277 nucleotides long. RefSeq lists it as uncharacterized. The transcript has 2 exons. The record is from RefSeq and is a predicted model, not a curated record. Lineage: Eukaryota; Metazoa; Chordata; Mammalia; Chiroptera; Phyllostomidae.
AUGGAGUUUAGUUUCAUCUCAGUUUUCCUUGUUGCUGUUUUAACAGGUGUCAAGUGUGAAGUGCAGCUGGUGGAGUCUGGGGGAGGCCUGAUGAAGCCUGGGGGGUCUCUGAGACUGUCCUGUACAGUCUCUGGAUUCACCAUCAGUAGUAGAUACUGGAUGCACUGGGUCUGCCAGGCUCCUGGGAAGGCGCUGGACUGAAUCUCAUCAAUUGCUGGUAGUAGCACAUACUAUGCCAACUCUGUGAAGGGCCGAUUCACCAUCUCCAUAGACAAUG